CGGACGGGUGAGUAACACGUGGGUAACCUACCUAUAAGACUGGGAUAACUUCGGGAAACCGGAGCUAAUACCGGAUAACAUUUGGAACCGCAUGGUUCUAAAGUGAAAGACGGUCUUGCUGUCACUUAUAGAUGGAUCCGCGCUGCAUUAGCUAGUUGGUAAGGUAACGGCUUACCAAGGCAACGAUGCAUAGCCGACCUGAGAGGGUGAUCGGCCACACUGGAACUGAGACACGGUCCAG
RNAcentral lists this ribosomal RNA (241 nucleotides) under uncultured Staphylococcus sp. RNAcentral's name for it is "partial 16S ribosomal RNA". It matches the Rfam family "Bacterial small subunit ribosomal RNA", at positions 99 to 334 of the family's 1533-position model. Lineage: Bacteria; Bacillati; Bacillota; Bacilli; Caryophanales; Staphylococcaceae. The record is from RNAcentral.